UAGUUCGCUUCAUUCCUUCCCCACCACCCCUGCCACCGGCGCUGGGUCUGGCGAGGAGGAAAGCCCCAAAGGCGACCCGGAACGCCAGCGAGAGCUGCACAGCCUCCCGCGGUGCAACCACCACGGCUCGGGCAAGCUCUUCUUCCCCCUCCUCUUCCUCCUCCUCCUCCUCCUCCCUCCCCGCCGCCUCUCGCCCAAACCUUCCCCGACCCUCCGGGCUCGGGGGGCGCGGAGGGGAGGCGGCUCUCCCAAGUUCAGACAAAAGCGGAGGGCCGGGGCGAGAGGAGGCGCCUGGCGGGCGGUGCCAACCCGCCCGUGGGGCUGCCGAGGCCGGGCAGAGCCCCGAGACCCGCGGGGGGCUCCCCCGGAGGCCGCUCCGCCGGAGGCCGGGCUGGGUCGGGAGGGAUGGGUGGAAAGGAGAAGGGGGGGGGGAGGAGGAGGAGGAGGAAAAGCUCCGCGGCCGCGUAACUCCCCGCGUGGGAAAGUCCGCCCCGGCUCAGCCUCCGAUGAGCUCGGCCUCCAACAUGGCGUCCGCGGCCCUUGCGUGCGCGCUGCGCGGAGCCUCCGCGGCCUCCACCGCGGGAGGCCCCGGGGCGCUGCUCGGAGGCGACCCCUCCGCGCAGCCCGGCUUGGAGGGGGGGGGCGCCGGGGGGUGCCCCAGCUCGGGGGUCGGCGGGUCGCGGUCCCGCGGAGAGCGCGCGAGCCGCGGAAGGCUCUUCCCUCCGGUGAAAGCGGAGCGGAGCCGGAGUCACUCCGGGUGUGAGCCCCGGGGGGGGGGCAGCGGGGAAGAUGCCUUAGGAGGCAGCGGGGAGAUGGAGGGGCCGAGGAGGAGGAGGAGGAGGAGGAGGAAGGGGACAUUGCAAGGCUCUCCGCGCCCGCCGCCGAUAACGAGAGGGCUGGGGGAAGCUGGCUGGAUUUUAUUUUUAUUUUAAUUAAAACUUUAGUGGGUCCUGGGGAUCGUGCUCGCUUCGCUUUGCUUUGUAGGGUGGAAAGAGAUACACGGAGAAAUGCAGGCCUUGUCAGGAUUUAUUGAAGUUGGGUUUAAAAAACGUGCUUCAGAUGAUUUUUCCCAUUUUCUCAGAUUUCAAAGGCUCCCCGCAGUGCGGCUGCCUAAUUAAUGGUGAAAUUCAACUAAAUCUAAUUAUGCAGUAAUUUUAAAGCAGUUAGUCCUGGGCGCUGCUUUGUAAUAGGAACCCAGUUUUUAAAGUUUGCUUAAUGUGUUGGUUUAGGGAGCUGGGGAGGAGAAGGGUGUAAGAGGCAGAGCGCUCUUUUUUUUUUUUUUUUGCUUUGUGUUUUUGUAUUGAAGUCCAUCUAAUUUGGAGCAUUUAUAUUUGAAAAGGGAC
RNAcentral lists this long non-coding RNA (1343 nucleotides) under Anser brachyrhynchus (Pink-footed goose). RNAcentral describes it as "lncRNA (ENSABRG00000004558.1)". Lineage: Eukaryota; Metazoa; Chordata; Aves; Anseriformes; Anatidae. The record is from RNAcentral.